This 465-nucleotide ribosomal RNA is filed under the name uncultured bacterium. Its description in RNAcentral is "bacterial SSU rRNA". It matches the Rfam family "Bacterial small subunit ribosomal RNA", at positions 29 to 506 of the family's 1533-position model. The record is from RNAcentral.
AUGAACGCUAGCGGGACGCCUAACACAUGCAAGUCAAACGGGUCUUAUUUUGUAGCAAUACGAGAUAAGACUAGUGGCAAACGAGCGAGUAACGCGUACCUAACCUGCCCCGAAUAUGGGAACAACUAUAGAGAUAUAGCUAAUUCCCAAUACUCUCCACAAAAUGAAAAUAUGUGGAGCAAAGAUUUAUCGCUUUGGGAGGGGGGUGCGUCCUAUCAUGGUAGUUGGUGAGGUAAUGGCUCACCAAGCCUUUGACGGGUAGCCGGUCUAAGAUGAUGUUCGGCCGCGAUGGAACUGAGAUACGGGUCAUACUCCUACGGGAGGCAGCAGUGGGGAAUCUUGCACAAUGGACGAAAGUCUGAUGCAGCGAUCCCGCGUGGAGGAUGAAGCCCUAUGGGGUGUAAACUCCUUUUCUGGUGGAAGACGAAUGACGGUACACCAGGAAUAAGAGACGGCUAACUACGU